CUUGCUUCUCUUGAGAGCGGCGGACGGGUGAGUAAUGCCUAGGAAUCUGCCUGGUAGUGGGGGAUAACGUUCGGAAACGGACGCUAAUACCGCAUACGUCCUACGGGAGAAAGCAGGGGACCUUCGGGCCUUGCGCUAUCAGAUGAGCCUAGGUCGGAUUAGCUAGUUGGUGGGGUAAUGGCUCACCAAGGCGACGAUCCGUAACUGGUCUGAGAGGAUGAUCAGUCACACUGGAACUGAGACACGGUCCAGACUCCUACGGGAGGCAGCAGUGGGGAAUAUUGGACAAUGGGCGAAAGCCUGAUCCAGCCAUGCCGCGUGUGUGAAGAAGGUCUUCGGAUUGUAAAGCACUUUAAGUUGGGAGGAAGGGUUGUAGAUUAAUACUCUGCAAUUUUGACGUUACCGACAGAAUAAGCACCGGCUAACUCUGUGCCAGCAGCCGCGGUAAUACAGAGGGUGCAAGCGUUAAUCGGAAUUACUGGGCGUAAAGCGCGCGUAGGUGGUUUGUUAAGUUGGAUGUGAAAUCCCCGGGCUCAACCUGGGAACUGCAUUCAAAACUGACUGACUAGAGUAUGGUAGAGGGUGGUGGAAUUUCCUGUGUAGCGGUGAAAUGCGUA
Molecule: ribosomal RNA, 617 nt
Filed under: uncultured bacterium
Lineage: Bacteria
Description: bacterial SSU rRNA
Rfam family: Bacterial small subunit ribosomal RNA
Source: RNAcentral